Non-coding RNA from Anas platyrhynchos (mallard), 739 nucleotides. NCBI's taxonomy places the organism in Eukaryota, Metazoa, Chordata, Aves, Anseriformes, Anatidae. The record is from RefSeq and is a predicted model, not a curated record.
UGCGGCUGCAAGGUCGGCGAUAACCUCGGGGGGGGCAGCCCUGGCCCUGGUGGGGUGCUCAGCCCCGGGAACAGCCCGUGCCGAGCCGUGCUGAGCCACAGAUGGCUGCGCCACGCACGUGUUUUUGGCUCAGGGCCGUGGGAGGGGAUAUAAGCGGCGGUGCCGUGGGCGCAGCCACCCCCGUGCCAGCCCGCGGUGGUGCCGUGCCGCCGCGUGCCAUGCGCCGCUGGGUGCUGGCGGCCCUCGCCCUGCUGGCAGCCACCCCCAGGUGCCACCGAGGAGCCGGCGCUGAGGCUGUGUGGGCGCGAGUUCGUCCGCACCCUCGUGGCCCUGUGCGGGGGCACCCGCUGGAGCCGCCCCCCCCGGGCAGCCUUGGCCGACUUCUUUGGGCGCCUCGAUGGCCACGGCCCCCCCAGCCUGGCCCCCCCCGGCCCCGCUGGCUCCUGCUGCUCCCGUGGCUGCACCCAGCAGGAGCUGCUGCCCUUCUGCUAGCGCCCGCGCCCAGGGGAGUCUCUGGUGGCUCGUCAGAGGGUUGAGCUCGCUGCUGUACGGGGGGGGGACGUGGGCGCACGUCCCCUCUUCCUCUGCAUCCCCCCCAUGUGGGCUCUUCUCGACAGCUUCCAGAUUUACCCAAAUUUAUUAGAAACGGACCAAAUCCUGCUGCGCUGGGCGCGGGGAGAGGCAGGAGGUGAAUGCCAAGCGGCGGCACCGCAGCCAUUAAAGCCCCAGUCGAAGCAUC